UCCACACUCUCACUCAUUGGAAUAUGCGUGCAAACCAACCUCACUGAGCCUCUUCCCUCACCCUGACAAGGGACCUGACAGUCUCUCGCUCCCAGGGCAGUGGCCAUGUAAAAAUCGCCAGGCUUCUGCCCAGCACAAAUUGUGCCUCGUGGGUAUUAGUCACCUAGUCUCGUAGCUGUCUUGCUGGCCGUUGCCUGAAUGUUCCACCGUGUCGGGGGGGAGGGGGGGCUGCUCAUGCUUUGUAGACUUUGCCUCCACCAGCACAUGGAGUGGGGAGCAUCUGCCUGCAGGAGCCGCAGGUGGUGGCGUCACGCAGCUUCGGAUCCAAGAGAUUCAUUCCAGCCGCGAAAGCGCUAAGCUUUCCCUGUGAUCACACAGUUUUGCACCAGCCAGAGCUUGCACAUGCCUCUACAGACCCGCGGCCAGAGGCAUGUGGCUAUCAGCGGCUGCUCAGAGGUGCUGGCCAAGGCCGGCCGGCCAGGGAGGCCUCGAUCACGUGCAAGGAGAGAUCUAUUUGAAACAACUGACAAGAAACUGUACGUCGGAAAUCGGAACAGCUGUGAGCUCCUCAUCGCAGCAGAUGGGAAACGGAUGUUUCUGUUUCCCGCACGUGAACGUGGCAGGUCAUCUGCCCAUCCUACUGCCUCUGGCUUCCAGCCUGGGUCACGCCGGCCUGCCGCAGUAAACAACCUGAGGUCCUCCUUGUAGGACUUAACAUUUAAAAACUCCUGAUGGAAUUACGUUUGCUUGUGUGAAUUGUAAAGGCAUAAUAAAAGAAGCUUGC
Molecule: long non-coding RNA, 784 nt
Filed under: Vulpes vulpes (red fox)
Lineage: Eukaryota; Metazoa; Chordata; Mammalia; Carnivora; Canidae
Description: lncRNA (ENSVVUG00000000899.1)
Source: RNAcentral